CCUACGGGCGGCAGCCGUGAGGAAUAUUGGUCAAUGUGCGGGAGCCUGAACCAGCCAAGUCGCGUGAGGGAAGACGGUCCUAUGGAUUGUAAACCUCUUUAGGCGGGGAGCAAUGCCGGGCACGUGUGCCCGGAGGGAGAGUACCCGCAGAAUAAGCAUCGGCUAACUCCGUGCCAGUAGCCGCGGUAAUACGGAGGAUGCGAGCUGUAUCCGGAUUUAUUGGGGUUAAAGGGUGAGUAGGCGGAUUUUUAAGUCAGCGGUAAAAGGUCCGGGCUCAACCCGGGCCGGCCGUUGAAACGGGGGAUCUUGAGUGGGCGAGAAGUAUGCGGAAUGCGUGGUGUAGCGGUGAAAUGCAUAGAUAUCACGCAGAACUCCGAUUGCGAAGGCAGCAUACCGGCGCCCGACUGACGCUGAGGCACGAAAGCGUGGGGAUCGAACAGGAUUAGAUACCCGGGUAGUC
Molecule: ribosomal RNA, 460 nt
Filed under: uncultured bacterium
Lineage: Bacteria
Description: partial 16S ribosomal RNA
Rfam family: Bacterial small subunit ribosomal RNA
Source: RNAcentral